AGAGUUUGAUCCUGGCUCAGGACGAACGCUGGCGGCGUGCCUAACACAUGCAAGUCGAGCGAGAGACUUCGGUCUCUAGCGGCGGACGGGUGAGUAACACGUGGGCAACCUGCCUCAUAGAGUGGGAUAGCCUCCCGAAAGGGAGAUUAAUACCGCAUAACAUCAUGCUUUCGCAUGGGAGUAUGAUUAAAGGAGCAAUC
RNAcentral lists this ribosomal RNA (200 nucleotides) under uncultured bacterium. RNAcentral describes it as "partial 16S ribosomal RNA". It matches the Rfam family "Bacterial small subunit ribosomal RNA", at positions 8 to 215 of the family's 1533-position model. The record is from RNAcentral.